CGAUGAAGCCCUUCGGGGUGGAUUAGUGGCGAACGGGUGAGUAACACGUGGGCAAUCUGCCCUGCACUCCGGGACAAGCCCUGGAAACGGGGUCUAAUACCGGAUACGAGCUCCCGCCGCAUGGCGGGGGCUGCAAAGCUCCGGCGGUGCAGGAUGAGCCCGCGGCCUAUCAGCUGGUUGGUGAGGUAACGGCUCACCAAGGCGACGACGGGUAGCCGGCCUGAGAGGGCGACCGGCCACACUGGGACUGAGACACGGCCCAGACUCCUACGGGAGGCAGCAGUGGGGAAUAUUGCACAAUGGGCGCAAGCCUGAUGCAGCGACGCCGCGUGAGGGAUGACGGCCUUCGGGUUGUAAACCUCUUUCAGCAGGGAAGAAGCGCAAGUGACGGUACCUGCAGAAGAAGCGCCGGCUAACUACGUGCCAGCAGCCGCGGUAAUACGUAGGGCGCAAGCGUUGUCCGGAAUUAUUGGGCGUAAAGAGCUCGUAGGCGGCCUGUCGCGUCGGUUGUGAAAGCCCGGGGCUUAACCCCGGGUCUGCAGUCGAUACGGGCAGGCUAGAGUUCGGUAGGGGAGAUCGGAAUUCCUGGUGUAGCGGUGAAAUGCGCAGAUAUCAGGAGGAACACCGGUGGCGAAGGCGGAUCUCUGGGCCGAUACUGACGCUGAGGAGCGAAAGCGUGGGGAGCGAACAGGAUUAGAUACCCUGGUAGUCCACGCCGUAAACGGUGGGCACUAGGUGUGGGCAACAUUCCACGUUGUCCGUGCCGCAGCUAACGCAUUAAGUGCCCCGCCUGGGGAGUAC
This 801-nucleotide ribosomal RNA is filed under the name Streptomyces sp. Its description in RNAcentral is "bacterial SSU rRNA". It matches the Rfam family "Bacterial small subunit ribosomal RNA", at positions 67 to 883 of the family's 1533-position model. Lineage: Bacteria; Bacillati; Actinomycetota; Actinomycetes; Kitasatosporales; Streptomycetaceae. The record is from RNAcentral.